GAGGAGGAGAAAGAUGAGGAGCACAAUGCGGCGGCGGUGGUCGACGAGGAGAUGGUGCCGGCGCUGCAGGAGAGUGACGGCGAGGGGAUGGGGGCCGUGUACGACCCUGUUCAUGGGGAAGCUGCCAGUUCUGCAGAAGGAACCGUGCGACGAGGAUGACUGCAAAUGCUGCGUUGAAUGAGACCCGAACCAGCCGUGCAUAGGCAUGACGGAGUGCUCAUCUUGCCACGCUUCUGUCUCCAUCUUCGUCUGAAUUUACGUACAGCCGCGGGUUCCAUCUGCAUCUAGCUUCGAAGUACCUAGACUCCAAGCCAGUUUGUCGCAUGGUCUCUGGACACUGUAGCGGAGUCUGUGCUGGACUGUUGUAAUGA
Long non-coding RNA from Phragmites australis (common reed), 371 nucleotides. RefSeq lists it as uncharacterized. Lineage: Eukaryota; Viridiplantae; Streptophyta; Magnoliopsida; Poales; Poaceae. The record is from RefSeq and is a predicted model, not a curated record. The transcript has 3 exons.